GAUGAACGCUGGCGGCGUGCUUAACACAUGCAAGUCGAACGGAAAGGCCCUGCUUUUGUGGGGUGCAUGAGUGGCGAACGGGUGAGUAACACGUGAGUAAUCUGCCCCUGACUCUGGGAUAACCUCAGGAAACGGGGGCUAAUACCGGAUAGGAGCUCCUGCUGCAUGGUGGGGGGCGGAAAGUUACGGCGGUUGGGGAUGGACUCGCGGCUUAUCAGCUUGUUGGUGGGGUAGUGGCUUACCAAGGCUUUGACGGGUAGCCGGCCUGAGAGGGUGACCGGCCACAUUGGGACUGAGAUACGGCCCAGACUCCUACGGGAGGCAGCAGUGGGGAAUAUUGCACAAUGGGCGGAAGCCUGAUGCAGCAACGCCGCGUGCGGGAUGACGGCCUUCGGGUUGUAAACCGCUUUCGCCUGUGACGAAGCGAGAGUGACGGUAAUGGGUAAAGAAGCACCGGCUAACUACGUG
RNAcentral lists this ribosomal RNA (468 nucleotides) under uncultured bacterium. RNAcentral describes it as "partial 16S ribosomal RNA". It matches the Rfam family "Bacterial small subunit ribosomal RNA", at positions 28 to 507 of the family's 1533-position model. The record is from RNAcentral.